AGAGUUUGAUCCUGGCUCAGAACGAACGCUGGCGGCGUGGAUAAGACAUGCAAGUCGAGCGGAAUACAUCCUGCAGCAAUGUAGGGUGUGUUCAGCGGCGCAAGGGUGCGUAACACGUGGGUAAUUUGCCAUGAAGUUUGGGAUAACUUGCUGAAAGGCGAGCUAAUACCGAAUGUGACCUUUGGGAGGCAUCUCCUGAAAUUCAAAGUUGGGGACCUUUAUCGGCCUGACGCUUCUUGAUAAGCCCGCGGUCUAUCAGCUAGUUGGUGAGGUAACGGCUCACCAAGGCUAAGACGGAUAGCUGGUCUGAGAGGACGACCAGCCACACUGGAACUGAGACACGGUCCAGACACCUACGGGUGGCAGCAGUCGAGAAUUUUUCACAAUGGGCGAAAGCCUGAUGGAGCGACGCCGCGUGGGGGAUGAAUGGCUUCGGCCCGUAAACCCCUGUCAUUUGCGAACAAACCUUACCGGUUAACGACCGGUGAGCUGAUUGUAGCGGAAGAGGAAGGGACGGCUAACUCUGUGCCAGCAGCCGCGGUAAUACAGAGGUCCCAAGCGUUGUUCGGAUUCACUGGGCGUAAAGGGUGCGUAGGUGGUGAGGUAAGUCGGAUGUGAAAUCUCCGGGCUCAACCCGGAAAUGGCAUUGGAAACUACCUUGCUAGAGGAUUUGAGGGGGGAUUGGAAUACUUGGUGUAGCAGUGAAAUGCGUAGAUAUCAAGUGGAACACCAGUGGCGAAGGCGAAUCCCUGGAAAAUACCUGACACUGAGGCACGAAAGCUAGGGGAGCAAACAGGAUUAGAUACCCUCGUAGUCC
This 817-nucleotide ribosomal RNA is filed under the name uncultured Verrucomicrobia subdivision 3 bacterium. RNAcentral's name for it is "bacterial SSU rRNA". It matches the Rfam family "Bacterial small subunit ribosomal RNA", at positions 8 to 796 of the family's 1533-position model. The record is from RNAcentral. Lineage: Bacteria; Pseudomonadati; Verrucomicrobiota; Verrucomicrobiia; Limisphaerales.